Molecule: ribosomal RNA, 395 nt
Filed under: uncultured bacterium
Lineage: Bacteria
Description: bacterial SSU rRNA
Rfam family: Bacterial small subunit ribosomal RNA
Source: RNAcentral
AACGAACGCUGGCGGCGCGCUUAACACAUGCAAGUCGAACGAGAAGGCGUAGCAAUACGCUUGUACAGUGGCGAACGGGUGAGUAAUACGUGGGCGACCUACCCUCGAGUGGGGAAUAACCCGCCGAAAGGCGGGCUAAUGCCGCGUACGCUUCCAUCUUUAUGGAGGUGGAAGGAAAGCCGUGCUGUGGGCACGGCGCUCAAGGAUGGGCUCACGUCCUAUCAGCUUGUUGGAGGGUAACGGCCUACCAAGGCUCCGACGGGUAGCUGGUCUGAGAGGACGAUCAGCCACACUGGCACUGCGACACGGGCCAGACUCCUACGGGAGGCAGCAGUGAGGAAUAUUGCGCAAUGGGCGAAAGCCUGACGCAGCGACGCCGCGUGGGGGAUGAAGGU